Molecule: ribosomal RNA, 388 nt
Filed under: uncultured bacterium
Lineage: Bacteria
Description: bacterial SSU rRNA
Rfam family: Bacterial small subunit ribosomal RNA
Source: RNAcentral
AUUGAACGCUGGCGGCAUGCCUUACACAUGCAAGUCGAACGGUAACGGGCCUUCGGGUGCCGACGAGUGGCGAACGGGUGAGUAAUGUAUCGGAACGUACCUUUCAGUGGGGGAUAACGUAGCGAAAGUUACGCUAAUACCGCAUAUUCUGUGAGCAGGAAAGCAGGGGAUCGCAAGACCUUGCGCUGAUUGAGCGGCCGAUAUCAGAUUAGCUAGUUGGUGAGGUAAAGGCUCACCAAGGCGACGAUCUGUAGCGGGGUCUGAGAGGAUGAUCCGCCACACUGGAACUGAGACACGGUCCAGACUCCUACGGGAGGCAGCAGUGGGGAAUUUUGGACAAUGGGGGCGAACCCUGAUCCAGCCAUGCCGCGUGAGUGAAGAAGGCCUC